Molecule: ribosomal RNA, 317 nt
Filed under: uncultured Sphingobacteriales bacterium
Lineage: Bacteria; Pseudomonadati; Bacteroidota; Sphingobacteriia; Sphingobacteriales
Description: bacterial SSU rRNA
Rfam family: Bacterial small subunit ribosomal RNA
Source: RNAcentral
GUGAAGGUGUCGGGUUAAGUCCCAUAACGAGCGCAACCCCUACCUUUAGUUGCCAUCAGGUAAUGCUGGGGACUCUAAAGGAACUGCCUACGCAAGUAGUGAGGAAGGCGGGGAUGACGUCAAAUCAGCACGGCCCUUACGUCCAGGGCUACACACGUGCUACAAUGGCCGAUACAGAGGGCAGCUACCUGGUGACAGGAUGCAAAUCUCCAAAGUCGGUCUCAGUUCGGAUCGGAGUCUGCAACCCGACUCCGUGAAGUUGGAUUCGCUAGUAAUCGCGCAUCAGCCAUGGCGCGGUGAAUACGUUCCCGGGCCUU